Molecule: ribosomal RNA, 1408 nt
Filed under: metagenome
Description: SSU rRNA
Rfam family: Eukaryotic small subunit ribosomal RNA
Source: RNAcentral
AAAUCAGGGUUCGAUACCGGAGAGGGAGCCUGAGAAACGGCUACCACAUCCAAGGAAGGCAGCAGGCACGCAAAUUACCCACUCCCGGCUCGGGGAGGUAGUGACGAAAAAUAACAAUACCGGACUCUUCCGAGGCUCGGUAAUUGGAAUGGGUACACUUCAAAUCCUUUAACGAGUAUCUAUUGGAGGGCAAGUCUGGUGCCAGCAGCCGCGGUAAUUCCAGCUCCAAUAGCGUAUAUUAAAGUUGCUGCGGUUAAAAAGCUCGUAGUUGGAUCUCAGUCUCGGUCGGACGGUCCGCUUUAUAGUGGUACUGGACGAAUCGGACAUUCAGCCGCCUUUCUCAGUAUGCUCUUUACUGAGUGUAUUGGGACAGUGGCGCUUUCACUUUGAAAAAAUUAGAGUGCUCAAAGCAGGCUCACGCCUGAAUCUUCGUGCAUGGAAUGAUGGAAUAGGGCCUCGGUUCUAUUUUGUUGGUUUCCGGAACUCGAGGUAAUGAUUAAGAGGGACGGACGGGGGCAUUCGUAUUGCGACGUUAGAGGUGAAAUUCUUAGAUCGUCGCAAGACGAACUACUGCGAAAGCAUUUGCCAAGAAUGUUUUCAUUAAUCAAGAACGAAAGUCAGAGGUUCGAAGGCGAUCAGAUACCGCCCUAGUUCUGACCAUAAACGAUGCUGACUAGCGAUCCGUCGGCGUUACAACACAUGACCCGACGGGCAGCUUCCGGGAAACCAAAGUUUUUAUGUUCCGGGGGAAGUAUGCGUUGCAAAACUGGAACUUAAAGGAAUUGACGGAAGGGCACCACCAGGAGUGGAGCCUGUGGCUUAAUUUGACCCAACACGGGAAAUCUCACCAGGCCCGGACACUAGCAGGAUUGACAGAUUGAUAGCUCUUUCUUGAUUUGGUGGGUGGUGGUGCAUGGCCGUUCUUAGUUGGUGGAGUGAUUUGUCUGGUUAAUUCCGAUAACGAACGAGACCCCGUCCUACUUACUAGACCGAGGAUCCUCUCGUUCUCGCGUCUUCUUAGAGGGACAAAUGAUUUUACCUUGAACUACAUGAAAUGGGGCAAUAACAGGUCUGUGAUGCCCUUAGAUGUUCUGGGCUGCACACGCGCUACACUGAAGGGAUCAUCGUGUUAACUAGCUCGAGAGAGCUUGUCAACCCGUUGAAUUCUCUUCGUGCUAGGGAUUGAGGCUUGCAAUUGUUUCUCAUGAACGAGGAAUUCCCAGUAAGUGCAAGUCAUAAGCUUGCGCUGAUUACGUCCCUGCCCUUUGUACACACCGCCCGUCGCUACUACCGAUUGGAUGAUUUAGUGAGGACUUCGGACUGGCUGCUCGUGGGGUAAAACCUGCAAGCGGAUCGGGAAGAUGUUCAAACUGUAUCAUCUAGAGGAAGUAAAAGUCGUAACAAGGUU